AUGCGUCGUUUAUUCUUUAUUGUGCGAUUCCCUUAUAAUAAAAUAUGUGGAACCCAGAUGACGCUGCAUGUUGGUCCGAGUUUGCUUACGACGAUCGUGACAGAAGAUCCCGCCACAACAGGACCAAGCAGCGAGCCCGGUAGGAGAAGGUAUCCUGGGCUUGGGAGGAAAUCAUGUCAGGACACGAAAGCCUUCCUUGGAAGCAGACGCAAGGAGAGAAGGGAGGACAGCGACGACCCCAGGGUUCGCGGCCACAGAGAAAGCCCAAAAGACAGCCCAUUUUUUGGGGUUUGGGGCACACGUGGUGGGCGGCAUACGGGGUGGGCGCCGGAGCUAGCGGUCGAGCAGCAGAGAGGGCCAAAGCCUGUGUGGGAGUCUAUAGAGGAAGGUAAUGAGAGAUACCGGAGAGAGGUUUUGGCAAGGAGUAUGCUGCAGCGCAUGUGCGCUGAAGAGCGCCUUCUUAGCCCGGCACCAUCUGUGCCAGCUCUACGCACCAAGUCUCCAGUACGCCUUCACAGCCCAGUACGUCCUGUGCCAGCUCCCCGCACUCGCCGUGCGAAGUGUGUCAUCGUUCCGGUACAAUUUGUGUCGGCUCUACGCACCAGGUCUCCAGUGCGCCUCCACAGCCCAGUACGUCCUGUGCUAGCUCCCCGCACUCGCCGUGCAGAGUGUGUCAUCAUUCUGGUACAAUUUGUGCCGGCUCUACGCACCAGGUCUCCAGUACGUCUCCCCAGUCUGGUACGUCCUGUGUCUCCUCCUCGCACUUGCCCUGAAGUGCGUGUCACCAGUCCGGUGCCAUCUGUGCCGGCUCUACGCACCAGGCUUCCGGUGACAGUUCACAUUCCAGAGCUUCCGGCGACGGUUUACAGUCCAGAACCUCCUGCGACGGUCCACGGUCCAGAACCUCCAGCUCCAGGGCAGGAGCUUCCCUCUGAACCGAUGCCCAGUGCAGGCACACCGUCCAGUCCUGCUCCAUGGCAGGAGCCUCCUUCUGCGCUGGUGCCCAGUCCA
RNAcentral lists this long non-coding RNA (1011 nucleotides) under Oncorhynchus kisutch (coho salmon). RNAcentral describes it as "lncRNA (ENSOKIG00005042004.1)". The record is from RNAcentral. Lineage: Eukaryota; Metazoa; Chordata; Actinopteri; Salmoniformes; Salmonidae.